AAAGGCGAAAAGAACCCCGGCGAGGGGAGUGAAAAAGAACCUGAAACCGUGUACGUACAAGCAGUGGGAGCCUCUUUUAUGGGGUGACUGCGUACCUUUUGUAUAAUGGGUCAGCGACUUAUAUUCUGUAGCAAGGUUAACCGAAUAGGGGAGCCGAAGGGAAACCGAGUCUUAACUGGGCGUUAAGUUGCAGGGUAUAGACCCGAAACCCGGUGAUCUAGCCAUGGGCAGGUUGAAGGUUGGGUAACACUAACUGGAGGACCGAACCGACUAAUGUUGAAAAAUUAGCGGAUGACUUGUGGCUGGGGGUGAAAGGCCAAUCAAACCGGGAGAUAGCUGGUUCUCCCCGAAAGCUAUUUAGGUAGCGCCUCGUGAAUUCAUCUCCGGGGGUAGAGCACUGUUUCGGCAAGGGGGUCAUCCCGACUUACCAACCCGAUGCAAACUGCGAAUACCGGAGAAUGUUAUCACGGGAGACACACGGCGGGUGCUAACGUCCGUCGUGAAGAGGGAAACAACCCAGACCGCCAGCUAAGGUCCCAAAGUCAUGGUUAAGUGGGAAACGAUGUGGGAAGGCCCAGACAGCCAGGAUGUUGGCUUAGAAGCAGCCAUCAUUUAAAGAAAGCGUAAUAGCUCACUGGUCGAGUCGGCCUGCGCGGAAGAUGUAACGGGGCUAAACCAUG
RNAcentral lists this ribosomal RNA (680 nucleotides) under Escherichia coli. RNAcentral describes it as "partial 23S ribosomal RNA". It matches the Rfam family "Bacterial large subunit ribosomal RNA", at positions 510 to 1191 of the family's 2925-position model. Lineage: Bacteria; Pseudomonadati; Pseudomonadota; Gammaproteobacteria; Enterobacterales; Enterobacteriaceae. The record is from RNAcentral.